This is a long non-coding RNA of Pipra filicauda (Wire-tailed manakin), 100 nucleotides long. RefSeq lists it as uncharacterized. The transcript has 3 exons. Lineage: Eukaryota; Metazoa; Chordata; Aves; Passeriformes; Pipridae. The record is from RefSeq and is a predicted model, not a curated record.
AAAUGGGACAGAAACAGGAACCUGCAGCCUGACGUUUUCUGCAUUCUGGUGCUUGGAAAGAGAAAGAGGAGAGGGGAAAGAAGAUGGAACCUAUAAACAC